RNAcentral lists this ribosomal RNA (253 nucleotides) under uncultured bacterium. RNAcentral describes it as "partial 16S ribosomal RNA". It matches the Rfam family "Bacterial small subunit ribosomal RNA", at positions 524 to 776 of the family's 1533-position model. The record is from RNAcentral.
UACGAGGGGGGCGAGCGUUGUUCGGAAUUAUUGGGCGUAAAGGGUGCGUAGGCGGUUUGGUAAGUCUGAUGUGAAAUCUAUGGGCUCAACUCAUAGUCUGCAUCGGAAACUGCCGGGCUUGAGUGUGGGAGAGGUGAGUGGAAUUCCUGGUGUAGCGGUGAAAUGCGUAGAUAUCAGGAGGAACACCUGUGGCGAAGGCGGCUCACUGGCCCGGUACUGACGCUGAGGUGCGAAAGCGUGGGGAGCGAACAGG